UUCUGAUCUUAACUAUUCUGGAUGUAGUCUUCUCUACCAGAUCUGGACCGAACAACUUUUAUCUCACACUUCCUCCCAACAAAUCAGUGAUCUGCAUGGAUGCCCAUAUAAUGCCUCAUACGGAGCCAUGCCAAUACUUUCUUAGUAACUGUUGUUAUAGGCGAAUUUUAUCAAGGGUAGAUGGUCAUCUCAAUGGCCCUCGAAGUCAAGAACACAAGCUCGGAGCAUAUCCUCAA
This 236-nucleotide long non-coding RNA is filed under the name Carica papaya (papaya). Its description in RNAcentral is "long non-coding RNA (CPAP_LNC007830)". Lineage: Eukaryota; Viridiplantae; Streptophyta; Magnoliopsida; Brassicales; Caricaceae. The record is from RNAcentral.